CUGACUAAGUGGCUGUGAUGUAUCAUUUACUUAUAUCACAGCCUGCUUGGAUCAGUA
This 57-nucleotide microRNA precursor is filed under the name Magallana gigas (Pacific oyster). RNAcentral's name for it is "Mgi-Mir-2-P12_pre stem-loop". Lineage: Eukaryota; Metazoa; Mollusca; Bivalvia; Ostreida; Ostreidae. The record is from RNAcentral.